Molecule: ribosomal RNA, 927 nt
Filed under: Dolosigranulum pigrum
Lineage: Bacteria; Bacillati; Bacillota; Bacilli; Lactobacillales; Carnobacteriaceae
Description: bacterial LSU rRNA
Rfam family: Bacterial large subunit ribosomal RNA
Source: RNAcentral
AGCGAAAGCGAGUCUGAAUAGGGCGUGCAGUAUGAGGUCGUCGACCCGAAACCAGGUGACCUACCCAUGUGCAGGGUGAAGGUGCGGUGAAACGCACUGGAGGCCCGAACCCACGUAUGUUGAAAAAUGCGGGGAUGACGUGUGGGUAGCGGUGAAAUUCCAAUCGAACCUGGAGAUAGCUGGUUCUCUCCGAAAUAGCUUUAGGGCUAGCCUCGGAUGAUGCAUCGUGGAGGUAGAGCGACUGUUUGGACGAGGGCCCCUUGCGGGGUACCGAAUCCUGAUAAACUCCGAAUGCCACAGAUGUUAAUCCGGGAGUCACACUGCGAGUGAUAAGAUCCGUAGUGGAAAGGGAAACAACCCAGACCGUCGGCUAAGGUCCCCAAAUCCUUGUUAAGUGGAAAAGGAUGUGGGGCUGCUUAGACAACUAGGAUGUUGGCUUAGAAGCAGCCAUCAUUUAAAGAGUGCGUAAUAGCUCACUAGUCGAGUGGCCCUGCGCCGAAAAUUUACCGGGGCUAAACAAGGUACCGAAGCCACGGAUAGAACCUUUGGUUCUAUGGUAGGAGAGCGUUCUAAUCAGCAUAGAAGCCUGACUGUGAAGACAGGUGGAGCGAUUAGAAGUGAGAAUGCCGGUAUGAGUAGCGAAAGACAGGUGAGAAUCCUGUCCACCGAAUGACUAAGGUUUCCUGGGGAAGGCUCGUCCUCCCAGGGUUAGUCGGGACCUAAGCUGAGGCCGAACGGCGUAGGCGAUGGUCAACAGGUUGAUAUUCCUGUACCAGUUUCUUUUGUUUGACCGAUGGAGGGACGCAGCAGGCUAAGAUAUGCCCACUGAUGGAUGUGGGUGCAAAUAAUAAGUCUGGCGAUGAGUCAAAUGCUUAUCGCUAAGGACAAGUUAUGACGCGGAGGGAAGUACAGUACCGAAGUAUCUGA